CCUUGACUCUUCAUUUGCAUCCAUAUGUAUAGAAGAAUUGGAGACUACAGGGAAGAAUCCGAGAGAAAGGAAGAAAAAGAGAAAGAAAAGAAGAAAAAAAAAAAAGAGGAAGAAGAAAGAAGAAAAAAUAGGAAAUUUUUGUCAAGUUAUUAGAAAUAAGUGGUCUACUCUAUUAGGCUUGAAUUUCUCAAUUUUGAAAGGUAAGUAAAAAGUUACUUAUUGUCAAGUUGUGUUUGAUUUUAUAGUUGUUAGAUUGUUAGAUUAAAUUCAAUUUUAUUGAAGGGGUUAAGUGUAAUAAACUAUGAAAUUGAGUAAAAUGAAAGAAAAAUUAGUUUUAGUUAUUAAAGAGACUGUAGAAAUCGCCCAAACGUGAAAUGAUUAAGUUUGGGUAUCGCCUAUUUAAUUAUUGAAAUUAUUUAAAAUAAUUAAUUGUUUAUUUAAAAAUUAUAUCGUAUUUCAGGUGACGAUACUGACAUCAGAACAGCUUACCAUCCGGGUUGAUUUUUCGAACAUAGUACUGUGAGUGGAAAAAUAUAAAUAUUUUUAAAGUAAUUAUAAAUUAAGUAUAUUGUUAAAAUAUGUGCAAUUAUAUGCAAUUAUGUAUUCGAAUCACAUGGUUAUUAUGAAAAUAUCUUUUAUUAUGAUACAUGUGGAAUUUCAAGGAUUAUUUAUUGUACGUUUGUGACUUGGUAUAUGAGACAUGUGAUAUUGAGAUUUGUUUGGUAAGUGGGACGUGAUAUUGAGAUCGACCAGAAAAGUACCUGUGAUUAUGUACUUCUUCUAGUUCACGGAGGGGCCUUGGCCGUGUUCUAUCAUACAUGGAGGGUCUUGACCUGACAUUGGUCUCGAUCGUAUACAUAUAGUUCACAGAGGGGCCUUAGCCGUGUUCUAGAAUUGAUUAUGAGAGGUCUUUGAGAUCGACUUUCGUUCACGAAGGGGGCCCAAAGGCCCGUGGCGAAAGUUCUUAGCCCGAGAGGCGGAUUAUAUAUUUCAGUCAGAGGGUACAUUUUAGGUGGAUUUUUCAGCACGUUUGAUGUGAUGAGAUUAUAACAUGAUUAUCAACUGACGUUAUAUCAUGAUUUUGAGAUGAUCUUUUACGACCUUAUGUGAAUAUUUCAUUUUUUGUUAUAAUUACAUGAUGUUAGUUUGUGAAUUAUUAAAUGAUAUGAACUUGAUUUUCGAUAGAAAUGUAAAAUUGAAAAAAUAUAAUUAUUUUCGAAUUUCUCCACUCAUUGAGCUAUUAGCUCAUAUAUUUUCCCACGAUUUUUCCUACAGGUAGCAAUUGAUUAUUUUUAGCUGGAAGAGCCUAAUGAUUUUGGAAUGAGAGCCACACGACAUGUUGAAUAUUAUAUAACUCAUAUUGAUGAAGCACGAAGUAAAUAUUUUGGGCCCAUCGCAUUAUAUUUUAUAUAAGCAUUUGAUUUUGUUGCAUUUUAUUUUAAAUAACUCAUAGUCAGGCUUGGUGAUAGAUUUGACAUCUAGUCAGCAUCUAUCAUCGACGCACGUCACGUUUCGAGUCCACUAGGGUGAUUCGGGAUGGGUCGUGUCAUUGUGCUUUUUGAGUUCUGUGUGAUAGGCAGUUUUUCCCCUCUUUUGAAACUAUUUUGCUGCUUGGAAGUGAUAAUUAAGAGCUCAAACAUGAAAUAUUACUUAUUUCUCGAGCAAAAUGAGUACUUGGAAGAAUUUUGAAAGGUAAACAUAAUUGUAGAAGCAGAAACUUUGAUUUUUGUUUUUUUUUCUCCAGAAACAUACCAUUUGGUCCAAUUCUAGGUUAGUCCUGAUGGUUCAAGUAAAAAAGUCAACCCCUAGUUUUUAAAAUGGGAAAAUACAAGAAAGAAUGAAGAAACGAAAUCGAAAAAGAAGGAAUAGGGUAUAACAUUAUUGGUAAACAUCAAAUUUGAAUUCAAUUUCGCUAAACGCAAAUACACAAACGCUAAACAACAUUCAUACCCCCAUGUAAAUCAAACAUCAUACGUACCAAAAGUUUGCUGUAGAUUCCGACAGAAAAGACGUUGGUCGCGGACUUGAACGGAAGAAUAUCGGGCAAACGGCCGAUGAUUGGAAAACAAGCAAACUAGACCAAGCUUCUUCUGUCGGGAUUGUUGAGUUCUUCAAUAGAGUUGGAGAAGAUGGAUGAAGUCAGGGGCAGGGAGGGAGACAAUGGAUCGAGGUGUGUAGGGUUUCAAUGAUUUGGGGGAAAAUGGAUAAAAAUGUAUUUGAAAUGGGUAUACAUAUUGGGCCGGUUUCCAUUGAUUGGGUUAUUUUAUUUCCACAUCGUUCUGUCAGCCAACUCUGUACCGAUAGCCGGAUCCUAAUUUUUUUAAUUUCUCUUGUACUUUGUGGUGGUGUUGGGACGGCGUGGGUUUGGGGAGGGAUAGGGUUGGGAUUUCAUAAUUCUGACAAUUG
This 2406-nucleotide long non-coding RNA is filed under the name Olea europaea subsp. europaea. The record is from RNAcentral. Lineage: Eukaryota; Viridiplantae; Streptophyta; Magnoliopsida; Lamiales; Oleaceae.